Crotalus tigris (Tiger rattlesnake) is the source of this 471-nucleotide long non-coding RNA. RefSeq lists it as uncharacterized. The transcript has 2 exons. The record is from RefSeq and is a predicted model, not a curated record. Lineage: Eukaryota; Metazoa; Chordata; Lepidosauria; Squamata; Viperidae.
GAGGAACUGGCCUUGGACUCGGAAAGGCUCCUGCAGCAACUUGGAGGCAGCUGAAGCCGCCAGGCCCUUCCAGAGAUAGAAUGUAAAGCUGGAUAUUUCAUCUUCAAAAAGGGCAACCAGAAAGGUCAAUGGUCACUCACUUCAUCCGUGGCUCAUGUUGCAAUCAAUUCUGAUUCUUUUCAGUCCUGAUCUGUCCCUGGCUUGCACCCGUUCCUUCAGAAUAAGAGACCCGAAUCAGCCAGGUUGCUCAUAUCUACUCCACUUCUACAGCAGCUGGAACAUCCCUGGAGUUGCAUAGCGAGGGCUUUAAUUCUUGUGAUGUAACUGAAUAGAUGACUAUUUCUAAACCAAUCAACUUUUGCUUGGAAGUUCUUUGUUGUACUAACCAUGAAAGUAAACGUGAUCCUUUCCCCCCUUUUCGUAGGGAGACCCCACUUUAUGAGAGGACUCUCAUAAAGGGCUUUUAAAUGA